UGUUACAAUGGGGGGUACAGAGGGCCGCUACCACGCGGGUGGAUGCCAAUCCCCAAAACCUCUCUCAGUUCGGACUGGAGUCUGCAACCCGACUCCACGAAGCUGGAUUCGCUAGUAAUCGCGCAUCAGCCACGGCGCGGUGAAUACGUUCCCGGGCCUUGUACACACCGCCCGUCAAGCCAUGGGAGCCGGGGGUACCUGAAGUGCGUAACCGCGAGGAGCGCCCUAGGGUAAAACUGGUGACUGGGGCUAAGUCGUAACAAGGUAUC
This 269-nucleotide ribosomal RNA is filed under the name uncultured bacterium. RNAcentral describes it as "partial 16S ribosomal RNA". It matches the Rfam family "Bacterial small subunit ribosomal RNA", at positions 1223 to 1500 of the family's 1533-position model. The record is from RNAcentral.